AGACCCGAAACCCGGUGAUCUAGCCAUGGGCAGGUUGAAGGUUGGGUAACACUAACUGGAGGACCGAACCGACUAAUGUUGAAAAAUUAGCGGAUGACCUGUGGCUGGGGGUGAAAGGCCAAUCAAACCGGGAGAUAGCUGGUUCUCCCCGAAAGCUAUUUAGGUAGCGCCUCGUGAAUUCAUCUCCGGGGGUAGAGCACUGUUUCGGCUAGGGGGCCAUCCCGGCUUACCAACCCGAUGCAAACUGCGAAUACCGGAGAAUGUUAUCACGGGAGACACACGGCGGGUGCUAACGUCCGUCGUGAAGAGGGAAACAACCCAGACCGCCAGCUAAGGUCCCAAAGUCAUGGUUAAGUGGGAAACGAUGUGGGAAGGCCCAGACAGCCAGGAUGUUGGCUUAGAAGCAGCCAUCAUUUAAAGAAAGCGUAAUAGCUCACUGGUCGAGUCGGCCUGCGCGGAAGAUGUAACGGGGCUAAACCAUGCACCGAAGCUGCGGCAGCGAACGUAUCACUUAAAGCGAUUCAGCGGAUGACGAUUGACGGAGCGAAGCGACGUCAAAGCGUAUACAAAGUCGAGUCGGUUUAAGGAUACGUUCGUUGGGUAGGGGAGCGUUCUGUAAGCCUGCGAAGGUGGCCUGUGAGGGUUGCUGGAGGUAUCAGAAGUGCGAAUGCUGACAUAAGUAACGAUAAAGCGGGUGAAAAGCCCGCUCGCCGGAAGACCAAGGGUUCCUGUCCAACGUUAAUCGGGGCAGGGUGAGUCGACCCCUAAGGCGAGGCCGAAAGGCGUAGUCGAUGGGAAACGGGUUAAUAUUCCCGUACUUGGUGUUACUGCGAAGGGGGGACGGAGAAGGCUAUGUUGGCCGGGCGACGGUUGUCCCGGUUUAAGCGUGUAGGUGUGUGUUCCAGGUAAAUCCGGUUCACUUUAACACUGAGGCGUGAUGACGAGGCACUACGGUGCUGAAGCAACAAAUGCCCUGCUUCCAGGAAAAGCCUCUAAGCAUCAGGUAACAUCAAAUCGUACCCCAAACCGACACAGGUGGUCAGGUAGAGAAUACCAAGGCGCUUGAGAGAACUCGGGUGAAGGAACUAGGCAAAAUGGUGCCGUAACUUCGGGAGAAGGCACGCUGACAUGUAGGUGAAGUGAUUUACUCAUGGAGCUGAAGUCAGUCGAAGAUACCAGCUGGCUGCAACUGUUUAUUAAAAACACAGCACUGUGCAAACACGAAAGUGGACGUAUACGGUGUGACGCCUGCCCGGUGCCGGAAGGUUAAUUGAUGGGGUCAGCGCAAGCGAAGCUCCUGAUCGAAGCCCCGGUAAACGGCGGCCGUAACUAUAACGGUCCUAAGGUAGCGAAAUUCCUUGUCGGGUAAGUUCCGACCUGCACGAAUGGCGUAAUGAUGGCCAGGCUGUCUCCACCCGAGACUCAGUGAAAUUGAACUCGCUGUGAAGAUGCAGUGUACCCGCGGCAAGACGGAAAGACCCCGUGAACCUUUACUAUAGCUUGACACUGAACAUUGAGCCUUGAUGUGUAGGAUAGGUGGGAGGCUUUGAAGUGUGGACGCCAGUCUGCAUGGAGCCGACCUUGAAAUACCACCCUUUAAUGUUUGAUGUUCUAACGUGGACCCGUAAUCCGGGUUGCGGACAGUGUCUGGUGGGUAGUUUGACUGGGGCGGUCUCCUCCUAAAGAGUAACGGAGGAGCACGAAGGUUGGCUAAUCCUGGUCGGACAUCAGGAGGUUAGUGCAAUGGCAUAAGCCAGCUUGACUGCGAGCGUGACGGCGCGAGCAGGUGCGAAAGCAGGUCAUAGUGAUCCGGUGGUUCUGAAUGGAAGGGCCAUCGCUCAACGGAUAAAAGGUACUCCGGGGAUAACAGGCUGAUACCGCCCAAGAGUUCAUAUCGACGGCGGUGUUUGGCACCUCGAUGUCGGCUCAUCACAUCCUGGGGCUGAAGUAGGUCCCAAGGGUAUGGCUGUUCGCCAUUUAAAGUGGUACGCGAGCUGGGUUUAGAACGUCGUGAGACAGUUCGGUCCCUAUCUGCCGUGGGCGCUGGAGAACUGAGGGGGGCUGCUCCUAGUACGAGAGGACCGGAGUGGACGCAUCACUGGUGUUCGGGUUGUCAUGCCAAUGGCACUGCCCGGUAGCUAAAUGCGGAAGAGAUAAGUGCUGAAAGCAUCUAAGCACGAAACUUGCCCCGA
RNAcentral lists this ribosomal RNA (2192 nucleotides) under Salmonella enterica. RNAcentral describes it as "partial 23S ribosomal RNA". It matches the Rfam family "Bacterial large subunit ribosomal RNA", at positions 711 to 2802 of the family's 2925-position model. Lineage: Bacteria; Pseudomonadati; Pseudomonadota; Gammaproteobacteria; Enterobacterales; Enterobacteriaceae. The record is from RNAcentral.